This 447-nucleotide ribosomal RNA is filed under the name uncultured soil bacterium. RNAcentral describes it as "bacterial SSU rRNA". It matches the Rfam family "Bacterial small subunit ribosomal RNA", at positions 26 to 523 of the family's 1533-position model. The record is from RNAcentral.
AGAACGAACGCUGGCGGCAUGCCUAAUACAUGCAAGUCGAACGAACACUUCGGUGUUAGUGGCGCACGGGUGCGUAACGCGUGGGAAUCUGCCCUUGGGUUCGGAAUAACAGUUGGAAACGACUGCUAAUACCGGAUGAUAUCGAAAGAUCAAAGAUUUAUCGCCCAGGGAUGAGCCCGCGUAGGAUUAGCUAGUUGGUGAGGUAAAGGCUCACCAAGGCGACGAUCCUUAGCUGGUCUGAGAGGAUGAUCAGCCACACUGGGACUGAGACACGGCCCAGACUCCCACGGGAGGCAGCAGUAGGGAAUAUGGACAAUGGGCGCAAGCCUGAUCCAGCAAUGCCGCGUGAGUGAUGAAGGCUUAGGGUUGAAAGCUCUUUACCGAGAUGAUAAUGACAGUAUCGGAAGUAAUAAGCCCCGUAUAACCGUCGUGCCAGCGACGCCGUAC